Molecule: long non-coding RNA, 582 nt
Organism: Rhineura floridana
Lineage: Eukaryota; Metazoa; Chordata; Lepidosauria; Squamata; Rhineuridae
Exons: 4
Source: RefSeq, a predicted model, not a curated record
ACCGACCAUUCCCCGCAGCCAUAUUGAUUUGUUUAAAUUUUAUUUUUAAAGAGCUCCUGCAAGACUCACAGCAUCUGCGUUUCCUCCCCAUAACCCUAGCCACAGUAAUUCUUCUCCCCUAAAGGACCACCCACUGGAUUCCAGCAAGGCAUACGGAUUGAGGUGACUUUGCCUACCAGCGAAGGAGCUGGUAUACUUCCAUGGUUCUGGAGUGCAUCCUCCACGCUGCGCUGGUUGUACUUCCCCAUAUAUUCGUGCAUCUCCCCAUAGUUGUUCCGAAUAUUUUUCUCGGUGCUCCCGUUGGGAACAGUGCCAAAUCUCAGAGGGCUUGGAAUUCACCUAGGAAGGCAGAAGGUGAAACAGUUCCAUUGCUACGAGACACCAUGACACUGAUUCCGGUCUCAACAAAGGGUACAGAGAAAUCUAUGACUUCAGCUCUCUCCGCGUUGAUGGUCAGGGAUCCAAUUGCCAUGUCAGCUCGCUUGUAAUACACCUGAAACAAGAGUGAGAGAAAAAGAGAGCGAGAUGGAGUGCUGAAAGCCAGCAUCCCUGGUUUUCUGAGUGGGAGGGAUGGAGUGAGUG